UCUGAUGUUCCAUCCAUACAAAUAUAAUCUUAUUCUAGUUCUGUGGUUCCAUUAUCCAGGCACAAGAUAGAAAGUUGCCUGAAGGCUUGUGUAUCAUUAAAUUGCCUUUAUCUGAGAAAGCAAACCAUGGAUAACGCUCCUCGAGUAAGCCAUGAACGGGUAGACAUCCCCAUGAUUGUAUAGUAUCAUUCCGUGGUGGACCCAUAUUAGGCUCCUUGAGGACAUCCCUGUGGCACCUGAAAUUUAGGGGAUCCUCCAGACAGACAGCAUCCCUGCACAGAAACAGGGCCUUUCCAGAGGGAGGGGAUCCCCACCACAGGGACCUUCCAGAGGGAGGAUCCCCACCACAGGGAUCUUCCAGAGGGAGGGGAUCCCCACCACAGGGACCUUCCAGAGGGAGGAGAUCCCCACCACAGGGACCUUCCAG
This is a non-coding RNA of Salmo salar (Atlantic salmon), 427 nucleotides long. NCBI's taxonomy places the organism in Eukaryota, Metazoa, Chordata, Actinopteri, Salmoniformes, Salmonidae. The record is from RefSeq and is a predicted model, not a curated record.